Molecule: long non-coding RNA, 378 nt
Filed under: Heterocephalus glaber (naked mole-rat)
Lineage: Eukaryota; Metazoa; Chordata; Mammalia; Rodentia; Bathyergidae
Description: lncRNA (ENSHGLG00000034576.1)
Source: RNAcentral
GCCCUGCUGACCUGCAGGAGCUCCUUACAUGCUAAGGAUGUCGGACGUCUCCUGGAGUUGUUCGAAGUUUCCCGCUUUUCGUUUCCUUGUUUACAGGCACGGGUCUCAUCCCCCGUUGCUGGGCAACCAGGGCCAGGUCCCAGGAAGACACAGGACGGCACUUCCUAUGUCAUGAGGAUAGCAGAGCAGAUCCAAGGCCCUGCAGCAGUCUGGGGAUGUGGCCCGUACACCAGGCCCAGAGGUGUUCGGCCUUGGCCUUCCCUCCUUGGCUUCCAGCGCUGCCUGCUCAGCCAUCAGUAUCUACUGUGGACCUGUGGGUGCCGCCAGUGCUGGAUCAGGCCUGAGCUGAGAGUCCUCCACCCUGCAGCCCCAGCGGAC